RNAcentral lists this transfer RNA (71 nucleotides) under Rasbora argyrotaenia (silver rasbora). Its description in RNAcentral is "tRNA-Gly". It matches the Rfam family "tRNA". Rfam says of the family: Transfer RNA (tRNA) molecules are approximately 80 nucleotides in length. Their secondary structure includes four short double-helical elements and three loops (D, anti-codon, and T loops). Further hydrogen bonds mediate the characteristic L-shaped molecular structure. tRNAs have two regions of fundamental functional importance: the anti-codon, which is responsible for specific mRNA codon recognition, and the 3' end, to which the tRNAs corresponding amino acid is attached (by aminoacyl-tRNA synthetases). tRNAs cope with the degeneracy of the genetic code in two manners: having more than one tRNA (with a specific anti-codon) for a particular amino acid; and 'wobble' base-pairing, i.e. permitting non-standard base-pairing at the 3rd anti-codon position. The record is from RNAcentral. Lineage: Eukaryota; Metazoa; Chordata; Actinopteri; Cypriniformes; Danionidae.
AUCUUCCUAGUACAAAUUCAGUACAAGUGACUUCCAAUUACUUAAUCCUGGUUAAAAUCCAGGGAAAGAUA